This 770-nucleotide ribosomal RNA is filed under the name uncultured bacterium. RNAcentral's name for it is "bacterial SSU rRNA". It matches the Rfam family "Bacterial small subunit ribosomal RNA", at positions 8 to 796 of the family's 1533-position model. The record is from RNAcentral.
AGAGUUUGAUCAUGGCUCAGGACGAACGCUGGCGGCGUGCUUAACACAUGCAAGUCGAGCGGAAAGGCCCUUCGGGGUACUCGAGCGGCGAACGGGUGAGUAACACGUAAGCAAUCUGCCCCUAGCUCUGGGAUAGCUCCGGGAAACCGGGAUUAAUACCAGAUACGACCACUUUAGACAUCUGCUGUGGUGGAAAGAAUUUCGGCUAGGGAUGAGCUCGCGGCCUAUCAGCUUGUUGGUGGGGUAACGGCCUACCAAGGCGACGACGGGUAGCCGGCCUGAGAGGGCGACCGGCCACACUGGGACUGAGACACGGCCCAGACUCCUACGGGAGGCAGCAGUGGGGAAUAUUGCGCAAUGGGCGAAAGCCUGACGCAGCGACGCCGCGUGGGGGAUGAAGGCCUUCGGGUUGUAAACCCCUUUCAGCAGGGACGAAGCGAGAGUGACGGUACCUGCAGAAGAAGCGCCGGCUAACUACGUGCCAGCAGCCGCGGUAACACGUAGGGCGCAAGCGUUGUCCGGAAUUAUUGGGCGUAAAGAGCUCGUAGGCGGUCUGUUGCGUCCGCUGUGAAAUCUCGGGGCUUAACCCCGAGCCUGCAGUGGAUACGGGCAGACUAGAGGUAGGUAGGGGAGAAUGGAAUUCCCGGUGUAGCGGUGAAAUGCGCAGAUAUCGGGAGGAACACCGGUGGCGAAGGCGGUUCUCUGGGCCUUACCUGACGCUGAGGAGCGAAAGCGUGGGGAGCGAACAGGAUUAGAUACCCCAGUAGUCC